This 253-nucleotide ribosomal RNA is filed under the name uncultured bacterium. RNAcentral's name for it is "partial 16S ribosomal RNA". It matches the Rfam family "Bacterial small subunit ribosomal RNA", at positions 524 to 776 of the family's 1533-position model. The record is from RNAcentral.
UACAGAGGGGGCAAGCGUUGUUCGGAAUUACUGGGCGUAAAGGGCGCGUAGGCGGCCAUCUAAGUCGAACGUGAAAUCCCCGGGCUCAACCCGGGAACUGCGUCCGAUACUGGUUGGCUUGAAUCCGGGAGAGGGAUGCGGAAUUCCAGGUGUAGCGGUGAAAUGCGUAGAUAUCUGGAGGAACACCGGUGGCGAAGGCGGCAUCCUGGACCGGCAUUGACGCUGAGGCGCGAAAGCCAGGGGAGCAAACGGG